UAGGAGUUAUUUUAGACAGUAAGCUUAGUUUAUCUAGCCAUUAUCAAACUAUCGUCACUAAAGCUCUUAAACUGUUAGGAUUUGUCUUACGUGUCUCGGCCGACUUUAAAGAUCCUUUCAGUUUAAAAACAUUAUACUGUUCUCUAGUCCGUCCCAUCCUGGAAUUUGCCAGUGUAGUUUGGUGUCCCCAUCAAAUCACAUACAUAGAUAAAAUUGAAAAAAUUCAGAAAAAAAUCACACGAGUUAUGUUUCAUCGUCUUCCCUGGUCAAACCAAAUUCCACGUCCUUCGUAUAAUGUUCGGUGUUUACUAUUCGGCUUAGAGACUUUACAGCAUAGGAGAACUACGGCUCAGAUAACUUUUAUGCAUAAAUUAUUAAUUGGAGAUUUUGAUGCACCUGACAUUUUAAAUUUUAUUUGCUUUUCUACUCCCUCUAGAGGUCUUAGAAGUAGAGUGCUACUAAGAAGCCCUUUUAGAUCGACUGGUUUUGGUGCCAAUGAUCCACUGCUCAAAAUGAUUGAUGUGUAUAAUAGGUUAGGGUUAUCAGCAGAUUUCAAUCAAUCCGUUAGUCAGCUGCGUCAGCAUAUUCAAGUUAGUUCUAGGGCCAUAAUUUAAACUUGUACUCUGUAAGCAUUAAGUUAUUUAGGCAUACUGCCCGAUAACUUUGAUUUAAAUAAAUAAAUAAAUAAAUAAAUAAAUAAAUAAAUAAAUAUGAUCAACACUUGUACAUAGUGCCAUUUACUUUGUGUUCUUCACUCUCGCGCUGUGUUUUGAUCGUUCGAAACUCAUUGCCAGAACGAAUGCAAAUUUCAUAUGGGAAUGAUCGGUGCCGGAAGAGGCAGCGAAAAUUAUGAAAUGAUAAUAGAAAAGUGGUUAAGUUAAUCGUGAAAGAUGUCAACGCAGACGUAAAUGUAGUAUGUUUUGUUACAUGAUCUACGGCUAUUUCAUUACCAAAGCUCCUGAUAACAGAUCAAAGCAGAUGGAUCGGGCAUACAGAGUCGCCGUUUAAUUUAAAAUAUCUGCGUGAUCGGUAAGUUUUAAAUAGUACUAGUUUUGUUCACCAUUCUAAUGCUCGAUUUAUCUUUCAUUCCUCAAGCAAACGCAUCAAACAGCAAGUGUUUUUCCUUCCAACAGCACGCACCAUCGGUGGUGCAGCAGCUAACGUUUUGUUCGCCUAGCGCGCACCAUCAAGAAUUGAUAUUUUGCCAAACAGUACUGUGAAUAAAAAACUGCACACUUACUGUAGGAA
Long non-coding RNA from Anopheles coluzzii, 1248 nucleotides. RefSeq lists it as uncharacterized. The record is from RefSeq and is a predicted model, not a curated record. NCBI's taxonomy places the organism in Eukaryota, Metazoa, Arthropoda, Insecta, Diptera, Culicidae. The transcript has 2 exons.